GAUGAACGCUGGCGGCGUGCUUAGCACAUGCAAGUCGAACGGGAAACCUUUUAUUGAAGCUUCGGCAGAUUUAGCUGGCUUCUAGUGGCGGACGGGUGAGUAACGCGUGGGUAACCUGCCUUAUACAGGGGGAUAACAGUAAGAAAUGACUGGUAAUACUGCAUAAGCGCACAGAGCUGCAUGGCUCAGUGGGAAAAAGUCGGGUGGUAUAAAAUGGACCCGCGUUGGAUUAGCUGGUUGGUGGGGGAACGGCCCGGCAAGGCGACGUUCCAUGGCCGGGACGGGAGGGUGAACGGCCACGUUGGGACUGAGGCACGGCCCCGACUCGGACGGAAGGGGGGGGUGGGGAGUAUUACGGGAUGAGGGAAGCCCUGAGGAAGCGACGCCGCGGGAAGGAGGAAGUGUCUCGGUAUGUACACUUCUAUCAGAAGGGGAGAUAAUGACGGUACCUGAUUAAGAAGCCCCGGCUAACUACGUG
RNAcentral lists this ribosomal RNA (478 nucleotides) under uncultured bacterium. Its description in RNAcentral is "partial 16S ribosomal RNA". It matches the Rfam family "Bacterial small subunit ribosomal RNA", at positions 28 to 507 of the family's 1533-position model. The record is from RNAcentral.